GGACAAUUGAAGUUCGGUUUCUUGACGUUUCUUCUUCCUAUGAGCCUCGCCUUAGUUAUAUGUUACCUAGUGUUUGUACUGUUGUGAGAAAUUGUAUUUCCUGUUUAUGGUGAGUUGAUUAAUCCAAUUAUUAAGCUGCAUUCUUAUUUGGUCUGUUAGGCGUUGGUGCAGGACUGAUUAAUUUUCUUCUGUAUUAUAUGAGUAAAUUUGGUUCACACGAGGCAGCUACAAAUGGAAUAAUGGAAAAAAAGUAUAGUAAGAGUCAAAGCUACGCCUCUGCCUUGCUUUGCUUAUUCUUUGUCCUUUUCUUUCAAGCUGUGACCUCUACGGUACUACUCAGUAUUUCAUAAGUAUUGGUCAUAACCCACGUCCUGAGCAGAAGAGUAGAUAGCUGCCGAAGUUUCUGAAUUUCGAGGCUAUAUUACAAUCGCUGAACAUUGCAGACGAUCCUCCAAGGGAAGCAUGUAAUUUUAUUCUCCUUUCAAAGAUCAUGGCCUCAAAGCAGUAAUUAGGGAUGAUGCUCGAACUUAAAAUUAGAGAUUUUUUGGCCUUGCAUUUUGUCAUAAACAAGCUGCUGAUUGUAAUAAUUCAUAGUUUGUUCAAAGGAAACUUCAACUAAGGAAAAAUAAAAAUAAUAAAAAUCUAAAGGAAAAUUGUUUGGAUACUGAGCCCUGAGGAGGCAGUGGUGAAAUGUUGGGAUUGAGAGUGGAGUGAGCUGGACUUAGUUGAUAGAGCUGAGAUGAGCUUAGUGAGUACUGGUUAUAACUGGGUUAGUUGUAACAGAAUAAAGAGUAAC
This 796-nucleotide unclassified non-coding RNA is filed under the name Hevea brasiliensis (rubber tree). Lineage: Eukaryota; Viridiplantae; Streptophyta; Magnoliopsida; Malpighiales; Euphorbiaceae. The record is from RNAcentral.